RNAcentral lists this transfer RNA (85 nucleotides) under Felis catus (domestic cat). It matches the Rfam family "tRNA". From Rfam's summary of the family: Transfer RNA (tRNA) molecules are approximately 80 nucleotides in length. Their secondary structure includes four short double-helical elements and three loops (D, anti-codon, and T loops). Further hydrogen bonds mediate the characteristic L-shaped molecular structure. tRNAs have two regions of fundamental functional importance: the anti-codon, which is responsible for specific mRNA codon recognition, and the 3' end, to which the tRNAs corresponding amino acid is attached (by aminoacyl-tRNA synthetases). tRNAs cope with the degeneracy of the genetic code in two manners: having more than one tRNA (with a specific anti-codon) for a particular amino acid; and 'wobble' base-pairing, i.e. permitting non-standard base-pairing at the 3rd anti-codon position. The record is from Rfam by way of RNAcentral. Lineage: Eukaryota; Metazoa; Chordata; Mammalia; Carnivora; Felidae.
GCCUGGGUGGCUUAGUCAGUUAAGCAUCUGACUUCAGCUCAGGUCAUGAUCUUACUACUCGUGGGUUCAAACCUCACGUUGGGCU